RNAcentral lists this ribosomal RNA (1397 nucleotides) under uncultured fungus. Its description in RNAcentral is "eukaryotic LSU rRNA". The stretch from base 756 to 1397 matches the Rfam family "Eukaryotic large subunit ribosomal RNA", at positions 1 to 648 of the family's 3401-position model. The record is from RNAcentral. Lineage: Eukaryota; Fungi.
AAGUCGUAACAAGGUUUCCGUAGGUGAACCUGCGGAAGGAUCAUUAUUAAUACAUGGUUAACACCAUCAUUUUAUGUGCAACACAACUGACGCUGCCAGUACUUGGGGCUUACCUUAGGGUGAGUCACAUACCUGGCUGCAGCCCUUACCUAUUACCCACGUACAAGGAUGAUUCCUGUCCUGGUCUAGUAGGUAAGAGCACCAGGCUUAUGAUUCCAUGGCUUCAUUUGGUGUCAUGGUCUAAGAUAAGCCUGUUAUUUACACUAUUAUAUAUCAGUCUUGAAAUCCGUCAUCUGUUGGUAGCCGCAAGGCACUAACUGCUCACACAUUAAAAGGGUAAAAAACUUUUAGCAACGGAUCUCUAGGCUCUCGCAACGAUGAAGAACGCAGCGAACCGCGAAAUGUAAUGUGAAUUGCAGAGUUCGUGAAUCAUCAAAUCUUUGAACGCACAUUGCACUGCUUGGAAUUCCAGGCAGUAUGUCUGUUUGAGUAUCUGUUAACCAUCAAGUAAGCCCUUGGCUAAGCGGGACCUCUCAAGGGUUUCUCUUGNACUCUGUAUUACUUGGACAUGGGCCUAAUCGUAGUAAUACGAAGGGCCUUAAAUAGAUCUGGCCUUAUCCCAGGAUAAGUCUGUUGGCUUCCCUUCAAGGGAGUUAACACCCGCAUCUGAUAUUGAAGAACUACUUCCUCGAUACCGUUAAGGAUGUGGGGCUAAACGAGUACGGAAGGCCUAAUAAGCCCCAAGUCUCAACUCAUGAUCUCAAAUCAGACAAGACUACCCGCUGAACUUAAGCAUAUUAAUAAGCGGAGGAAAAGAAACCAACAGGGAUUCCCUCAGUAAUGGCGAAUGAAGCGGGAAUAGCUCAAAUUUGAAAUCUCUAACGAGAAUUGUAGUUUGUAGAGGCGACCUCGAAUGGCAGCCUGGGCACAAGUCCUCUGGAAUGGGGCAUCAUGGAGGGUGAGAAUCCCGUGAAUGGCCCAGGUACUGUCACACUUGAGUCGUCUUCUAAGAGUCGGGUUGUUUGGGAAUGCAGCCCUAAGUCGGUGGUAUAUUCCAUCUAAAGCUAAAUAUUGGCGAGAGACCGAUAGCAAACAAGUACCGUGAGGGAAAGAUGAAAAGAACUUUGAAAAGAGAGUUAAAAGUACGUGAAAUUGCUAAAAGGGAAACGAUUGAAACCAGUGUUGUCCUUGGGAAAUCAACUAUCUGGGUAACCAGGUGGUGCACUUUCCUAAGGGCAAGUCAACAUCAGUUACUGGUGGGGUAAAAUGGGUUGGGAAUGUAGCUGCUUGCAGUAUUAUAGCCUUUCUCUAUGCCCCGCCGGCGACUGAGGACUGCAGCGCGUCUUGGGUUUACUCACCACAGCGCUAAGGAUGUUGACGAAAUGGUUUUAAACGAC